GCCACCGUAGCUCAGUUGGUAGAGCAACUGAUUCGUAAUCAGUAGGUCAGCAGUUCGAAUCUGCUCGGUGGCU
This 73-nucleotide transfer RNA is filed under the name Candidatus Zixiibacteriota bacterium. RNAcentral describes it as "candidate division Zixibacteria bacterium tRNA-Thr". It matches the Rfam family "tRNA". Rfam says of the family: Transfer RNA (tRNA) molecules are approximately 80 nucleotides in length. Their secondary structure includes four short double-helical elements and three loops (D, anti-codon, and T loops). The record is from RNAcentral. Lineage: Bacteria; Pseudomonadati; Candidatus Zixiibacteriota. RNAcentral also lists the same sequence under 1 other name.